CGGCGGACGGGUGAGUAACGCGUGGGUAACCUGCCUCAUACAGGGGGAUAACAGUUGGAAACGGCUGCUAAUACCGCAUAAGCGCACAGUGCCGCAUGGUACGGUGUGAAAAACUCCGGUGGUAUGAGAUGGACCCGCGUCUGAUUAGGUAGUUGGUGGGGUAACGGCCUACCAAGCCGACGAUCAGUAGCCGACCUGAGAGGGUGACCGGCCACAUUGGGACUGAGACACGGCCCAA
Molecule: ribosomal RNA, 238 nt
Filed under: uncultured bacterium
Lineage: Bacteria
Description: partial 16S ribosomal RNA
Rfam family: Bacterial small subunit ribosomal RNA
Source: RNAcentral